This 323-nucleotide long non-coding RNA is filed under the name Coccomyxa subellipsoidea. RNAcentral's name for it is "long non-coding RNA (CSUB_LNC000202)". Lineage: Eukaryota; Viridiplantae; Chlorophyta; Trebouxiophyceae; Coccomyxaceae. The record is from RNAcentral.
ACGCAGAGGGUUCUCAGACCAGCUGCCUUCUUUGUCGGGGCUGCAACUUUGUAUGCGGUCCUCCUAGCUGCAUGGAUGCCCCAAGGGGUAUUCAGGAUAUGUGCAGAAGCUAUCAGGAGCUGCCGCCCUCUGCCGGAUGUAGGCCCUUGCCCCACCAGACAAAUGCCAUUGUCUGCUCGAUGUCUGUUCCCUUCCCUGGCUUCCAAGUCAUAAGUACUGGAGCAGCAAUGCAGGUAUUAAAAGUGGGAGCCAUGUUUCAGUCAGCCAACAUCACUGUUUUGGCAUGGCUGCAUCUCUUGCUGCUGGACCUCUAUCAAGCCAGG